RNAcentral lists this ribosomal RNA (514 nucleotides) under uncultured bacterium. Its description in RNAcentral is "bacterial SSU rRNA". It matches the Rfam family "Bacterial small subunit ribosomal RNA", at positions 15 to 518 of the family's 1533-position model. The record is from RNAcentral.
GAUAUGGCUCAGGACGAACGCUGGCGGCGUGCCUAACACAUGCAAGUCGAGCGGAGACAUACGACGGAUAGGAAGUUUCGGAUGGAAUUGAAGAUGUAUGUUUAGCGGCGGACAGGUGAGUAACGCGUGAGCAACCUGUCCUUCACAGGGGGAUAACACAGCGAAAGUUGUACUAAUACCGCAUAAGACCACAGUAUCACAUGGUACAGGGGUCAAAGGAGCAAUCCGGUGAAGGGUGGGCUCGCGUCCGAUUAGAUAGUUGGUGAGGUAACGGCCCACCAAGUCGACGAUCGGUAGCCGACCUGAGAGGGUGAUCGGCCACAUUGGGACUGAGACACGGCCCAAACUCCUACGGGAGGCAGCAGUGGGGAAUAUUGGGCAAUGGGGGGAAACCCUGACCCAGCAACGCCGCGUGAGGGAAGAAGGUUUUCGGAUCGUAAACCUCUGUCCUUGGUGAAGAGGAAGAGACGGUAGCCAAGGAGGAAGCCCCGGCUAACUACGUGCCAGCAGCGGC